GUAAACAUAGUUUAAGAAAACACUAGAUUGUGAUUCUAGCAUCAGGGGUUAAACCCCCCUUGUUCACC
This 68-nucleotide transfer RNA is filed under the name Synodus kaianus (Gunther's lizard fish). RNAcentral's name for it is "tRNA-His". It matches the Rfam family "tRNA". Rfam says of the family: Transfer RNA (tRNA) molecules are approximately 80 nucleotides in length. The record is from RNAcentral. Lineage: Eukaryota; Metazoa; Chordata; Actinopteri; Aulopiformes; Synodontidae.